Long non-coding RNA from Triticum aestivum (bread wheat), 5344 nucleotides. RefSeq lists it as uncharacterized. The transcript has 3 exons. The record is from RefSeq and is a predicted model, not a curated record. Lineage: Eukaryota; Viridiplantae; Streptophyta; Magnoliopsida; Poales; Poaceae.
UAUCUCUCUCCAGAAAAGAACGCCUUAUCCUAAUCUCCUUUCCUCGUCUCAACCUGGUGGUGGCGAAGAACCAGAGGGCCACGGCCGCCGCCGGUGUCGUAGCCCGGGGUGUCGAGGGAGAGGCGACGGACUGGAGGAACCAGGCGAGCCGGUCGGCGGGUAACCGGAGCAGCAGCGCCAUCGUCUCCUCCCUUCGUCUUUCUUCUAGAUGGAGCGGGGUCGGCCAGCUGCCGCAUCCCCGUCGAGGAAGGGGCCACAGAGCUCACGCCGGAGAGUGGCCUAGUGCUUAGGUAAGGCUGCAGCUGCGCCGUCGUGUGGUCUGCUGACACCAAGGGCUGGUCCAUCGCCGGGGCGUGCAUCAGCAGCGACGCCUCCGAGAUUGGCCACCCGCCAUGGAUGUUCCUCUGGUCUGACCCUAGUGCCAUGGAACAAGUCAAGCACGCAUGGCAGCAGAUCGCUGCAGCCAUCCUUCUCACCUGGGAAGGAGGAGAUCCAUCAGCAGCAGCCCAGGUUCGUCUCUCUUUUUCCUCGUCCCUGCUCAGGUUCUGUGUGUUGCUGCUAGAUCCUCAAGUGUGAGUUUAGCCUGCUAGAUGUGUAUACUAGUUUCAGUUUAUCUAGAAGAAGAGGGGAGUGAGGAGACCAGUUUCGCUCGUGUCUUGCUCAAUUCUGUACUAGUUUCUCAUCAAGUGUCCCAUGACAUGGGUUAGGUGGAUGGAUGGAUACAUAUAUCUAGCAAAAUGAACAUGAGUAAUUAUUGUCUACUGAUUAAGCCGAUUGAUGCAAGGUGUUCAUAUAUCUAUCUAUCUAUGUGUUACUACUUCUAGGAAAUGGAAUCAGUGUUUUUGCUUGGAGAUUGUACUGAUUUUUACGACCAGGAAUUUUUUUUGUUUUUUGCAUUCUAGCUACCUCACUUUUUAGCAUGAGUUGCCUAGAGUUCCAAUUCCCCAACCCCCUUGCUUCUCCAUCUACUCCAACUUGUUCUAUCUAACCUGCUCCGAACUGCUGCAGGAUCUACUCAAUUUUGAUCCUUUUCUUAGUGCCUGCCAGUAGUUGCUUCAAAAUUUAGCAUCAGUUGCUUGAAAUUAUAGGCAAAGUUGUUGCAUUUUUUUACUUUUGCACACGAGAUCAUGUGUUAUCAUUUUUGUUUAGAAGGAUCAUGUUUGAGGGAACUUGGUGGGCAGAACAAAUCAACAUAUACAAGUAUAAGUCUAUCAUAUGCUCUGCUCUGUCUCUUGAUUGAUGACAACAGAAUUCAGUAGGAGUACCGUUUGUUCAUCCAAUUGAUAAUUCAUUCAUGAACUGCCACUGUUUUUGCGAGAUGAAUAAUGGGCUAGAUUCAGAGAUAAGUGAAUUUUGCCUACAUAUAGAAUUAGAUUGCCACUGUUUUUUUUAUAAAAUGAAAUGAAUGUGCUCCAUGCAACUCAGGGGGUUUUGGUGUUGAUUUUGCAUGAGAUACAACUGAUUUCAAUGUCAUAAACACAUUUUUUUGUGCAACUUGUUGCUUCAAAGCAUGUGUAGUUGCUCAAGUUUAUAAUAUGGGUUGCCUGGAAUUAAACGAAAGGUUACUUUAAUUUUUACUAAAUCUAUAGGGCCUGGAAACAGGGGGAGGUGCGGAUUUUGUACUCCGCUGAGUGGCUUCUCUUGUGACGGGCGUCACGCCUGAUAUGGGGAUUGAAGGGGGUUGGGCAGCAUUGGAUUCGGAAGGCGACUUUCCACUCCAAGGAUAGAAUAGUUACUUGGAUUUCGUUAAAAGAGUUGCAUUUUGUGCGUGUACCGCAGUUGCUUAGUUUUGUUGGGGCAGUUGCUCGGAUUCGUUUUUGAACAUUUUUGUUGCAUUUUUGCCUCUUGUAAUGCAGUUGCUUGGUUUUCCUAGGACAGUUGCUUCCUUUUUACUAGAACAGCUUUGCAUUUUUGUGUUUUUUAAUUGAGUUUCUUGGAUUUUUGCUAGGCUAGAUGAGAAGUUGCAUGGAGAGGGGGUCAGAUAGUUUUCCACAAAGGUUAUUCAAGUUUCUCACACCUUUUUUUUCUUCCUAAAGUAGUAGAUAAUCUAAGUAGUAAUACUAGGGACAGUUACCUAUUUUUGCUAGGACAAUUUCACACUUUUCUGUUUCGAGUUGCUUGGAUUGUUUGCUGUAAGUUUUUUAGAUUAUCAUCUCAGAUUUGAAUACGCAUGUAGACUGAGAAGAUACAUCUAUGAAGUAGUUCCUGAUGGCCUAUAACUGAUGCGAUGAUUGAUUUGCAUGGCUAUCAUCCCGAUCCUCCUCCCGUCGACGCGCUCCGUGUGAAGCACACCAUCGCCCCACCCUCCACCCUAAAGUAGAUGCUAGGGGAGUUGCUUGAUUUUUCUAGGACAAUUGCUUGGUUUUGCUAGGGUAGUUGCUUGUUUUUCUUGCUAGAACAAUUUUUGCAUUUUGUGUACUUUUGUAGUUGAGUUGUUUGGAUUUUUGCUAGAACAGAUGAGAAGUUACAUGAAGGAGGGGGGAUAAGAUAGUUGUCCACAAAGGUUAUUCAACUUACUCAUAUGUUUUUUUUCUGCCUAAAAUAGACAAUCUAAGUAGUAGUGCCAGAGACAUCUGCUUGUUUCUGCUACAACAGUUUCCCACUUUUUGCGUUUCUUUGUAAUCGAAUUGCUUUGAUCUUCUGCUACAACAUACGAGAAGGUGGAUGAGAGGGGAGUUGCUUGGUUUUGCUAGGACAUUUUUUUCAUAAAAGGUUAUUCAAGUUGCUCAUACAUUUUUUCCUCUGCCUAAAAUUGAUGGUAGGGGAGUUGCUUGGUUUUGCUAGGACAAUUGCUUGGUUUUGCUAGGGCAGUUGUUUGUUUUUUUGCUAGAACAAUUUUGCAUUUUUGUGUUUUUUAUAUUGAGUUAUAAGCAAAAGGGCUGCUCAACCUGAUGUUUCACAGGGUGAAAUGCUGGAUCGACAUGAGGUACCCAUGGUUUUUUCAGGUUUUUUUGAUGAAACGGUGAAGAUGAAGAAGGAAAGCAACCGGAACGGGCGAAGAGAGGUGGAUAGGAAGUAAUUCUAAAAAAUACUGUAUUAGUAGAUUAAGUUGCAUCAGAAUAUAUAUGGAGCUGCUUAGUUCACAUCAACAGUUGCAUAAAAAUGCCUGGAACAUAUUUUUGCUUUUUUAACAGUUGUCCAUGAAUCACACUAAAGUUGCCUAUGUUAGAGAAUAUAUAUAUUGUCUCUACUUGUUGUUUUUGUGGGUUUUUUUUCGCACAAGGGUUGCCUGAUAUUACUGCAAGGAGCUUAUGGGGCAGCAACCCCUCUUUUAAUGCAUGACACUAGUUGCUUCAAAUUUUAAAAGAGUUGUCCGAAAUCAUAGCAAAGUUGUUGCAUGUAUUUUUACUUUUGUUUGGGGAUGCAUGCUACUUUUUAAUGCAAGGAACUCAUAUGGGGCACCAGACCUUUUUUAUAUGCCUGAUAGUAGUUGGACUCAUUGGAUGGUUAAAAGUGUCUACAGAGGCAGAUUCUGAUAUUUGGGGCGUUUUGGUGAUCCACGUUGGAGCUGACCUUAUGAUAGGCGAUUUAAAGGUGAAGCUAGUCAAUUGAUAGUCAUGGUAACCAACUUAUAAGGAUCCUCCGUUGAUGGGUAGUCAUACUAGGUGGAAAAAGGAGUUGCUUUUCUAUAACACUAAAGUUGCCUCUACAGCACAUAAAGUUGCUUAGAAAAAAAAGUUCGGCGAAACCUACUCACAUGGGAUCUAGUUUUGAAGAACUCAUCACGAGAAACCCAACGGUGAAAACGGAUUUGAAUUUUGAGAUUCUAUUCAAAAGUUAUAAGUUUUUAAAGUUUUUGAUCCCCUAAUAAAUGCAGGUGUGAUGGAUAGCGUGAGCACAUAGGACCUGACAUUUUUGUGUGUGGACAUGGCGUGGUAGUUUUGACAGUUUUUUUUAUUCGCAUGCGAGCGAUCCUCACGUGAUUCGCGUAGGGGCUGUUCUUUCCUUGUUCUUCGGCUGCAUGGUCGCGCGCCGGAUGCCCCUUCCCUUUUCUGAUAGAGCUGCGAUCGGGCGGCCGUGCGCCCGUGUGACAGCGAGCCGCGACGUCCACACACAACCGGCCCUAUAAUAGCGCGACGGAGAUGUUACGCGAUUCGCAGAAAACUGAAAAAAAAAAGCCCACGAACAGAGCCCCCAGUCAACCUUAUCCCGCACCACCACCACUCGUUCGCCUCGCAACCGGCUCCACCAACCCUCGACUCGCCGCCGCCCCCGACCGGUGCCGCCACCGUCCGUCGCCGUGGAUCGCACCGCCGCCACCGUGUCUCGCUGCGGAUCACGCCGCCGCCACCGUCCUUCGCUUGAAUCGCGCCGCCGCCACCAUCCCUCGAUGGAGAGCGCCCCCCGCUCGACUGCCCCCGCCCAUGGGUCCCGCCGCCGGUCUCCUCCUGCAACCCCGCCGCCACCGUUCCCUGGACCCGGCAGCCGCUCCGCCACCCGCCUCGGAUCCGGCCAUGGCGCCGCCCCCCACCGCGGGAUCCGGCCGCCGCGACGUCACCGUCCAUCGCCCAGUGGUGCAACACCCAACUCACGGAGUUCCCCAUCGCCGCCGACACUCCGGCGAACUUCCUUGCCACCUCGCGGUGGACCUCUCCCUGCUGCUCCCGCGACCUUCGCCAGCGUACUUCAACCCCGCGGGCAGAGUCCCCACUCCUCCCACACCGCAAUAGAGCAUGGCUUGCCCCACGGUCCGUUCGUCCUCGGCGUCCCGCCAUGUUCGCUGCCGAGAUGCCAUCUCCCUGUCCACAUCUGAGGAUCCUUCGUUUGUCCUGGGGUAUUUCCCCGCCGUCCGUUGUCGAGGGCGAUUGCGGCUACAUUCCCCGCUGACGAGUCGCACUGCCGUACUUCCUCAAGAUCCAUGUCGUCUUAGCCUAUAGGGAAGCGGCAGGAAUUCGUACUACUUUUACAUUUAAGAAUUGGAUCCGUGAUGGGCAUCCACACAGUGUGCCUCUGUUCCCAGGAGGAUGCAGCGGCAGUCGGAUUUGCUUCGUAAAAAAUUGUAUUUGGAUGAAUUCCUACAAAAAGAAUGUUUGGCAGGUCAGAUACAAAAUAAACUGAAGUUCAAAAAGAUAGCAGACUGGGAUCGAAAAACAGGAGAACUUUGUAACAAAAAAUAGUAGUUGAACAAAGUUUCUACGGCAUAUGUAGAAUUAGAUCAAGAAGAAAAAAGAUAACACUAAAAGACUCUACGUGAUGCACAGAGUACUAGUUGUACAUGUAUUGGGCAUGUACAAAUUGGAACAUCUACUGUAGGAGUGUUUGGUUUUUACAUGUAUUUCCUUUUGUUUCAAGUAGUACUACUACUCCACCAGCCAAUUGUAUAUUAUUCUUUCUUCCGGUGAAA